RNAcentral lists this ribosomal RNA (465 nucleotides) under uncultured bacterium. Its description in RNAcentral is "partial 16S ribosomal RNA". It matches the Rfam family "Bacterial small subunit ribosomal RNA", at positions 28 to 507 of the family's 1533-position model. The record is from RNAcentral.
GACGAACGCUGGCGGCGUGCUUAACACAUGCAAGUCGAACGGAAAGGCCCCUUUGGGGGUACUCGAGUGGCGAACGGGUGAGUAACACGUGAGUAACCUGCCCUUGACUUCGGGAUAACUUCAGGAAACUGGGGCUAAUACCGGAUAGGAAUCCUUGCUGCAUGGUGGGGGUUGGAAAGCUUCGGCGGUUUUGGAUGGACUCGCGGCUUAUCAGCUUGUUGGUGGGGUAGUGGCUUACCAAGGCUUUGACGGGUAGCCGGCCUGAGAGGGCGACCGGCCACAUUGGGACUGAGAUACGGCCCAGACUCCUACGGGAGGCAGCAGUGGGGAAUAUUGCAUAAUGGGCGGAAGCCUGAUGCAGCAACGCCGCGUGCGGGAUGACGGCCUUCGGGUUGUAAACCGCUUUCAGCAGGGGCGAAGCUUGUGGUGACGGUACCUGCAGAAGAAGCACCGGCUAACUACGUG